RNAcentral lists this ribosomal RNA (465 nucleotides) under uncultured Klebsiella sp. Its description in RNAcentral is "bacterial SSU rRNA". It matches the Rfam family "Bacterial small subunit ribosomal RNA", at positions 338 to 795 of the family's 1533-position model. The record is from RNAcentral. Lineage: Bacteria; Pseudomonadati; Pseudomonadota; Gammaproteobacteria; Enterobacterales; Enterobacteriaceae.
CCUACGGGCGGCAGCAGUGGGGAAUAUUGCACAAUGGGCGCAAGCCUGAUGCAGCCAUGCCGCGUGUGUGAAGAAGGCCUUCGGGUUGUAAAGCACUUUCAGCGGGGAGGAAGGCGUUAAGGUUAAUAACCUUGGCGAUUGACGUUACCCGCAGAAGAAGCACCGGCUAACUCCGUGCCAGCAGCCGCGGUAAUACGGAGGGUGCAAGCGUUAAUCGGAAUUACUGGGCGUAAAGCGCACGCAGGCGGUCUGUCAAGUCGGAUGUGAAAUCCCCGGGCUCAACCUGGGAACUGCAUUCGAAACUGGCAGGCUAGAGUCUUGUAGAGGGGGGGAGAAUUCCAGGUGGAGCGGUGAAAUGCGUAGAGAUCUGGAGGAAUACCGGUGGCGAAGGCGGCCCCCUGGACAAAGACUGACGCUCAGGUGCGAAAGCGUGGGGAGCAAACAGGAUUAGAUAGCCGGGUAGUG